Non-coding RNA from Phasianus colchicus (ring-necked pheasant), 7827 nucleotides. The record is from RefSeq and is a predicted model, not a curated record. Lineage: Eukaryota; Metazoa; Chordata; Aves; Galliformes; Phasianidae.
CGCCUCGGGGCCUCGCGAGCAGGACGGGAAGGAGGAGAUGCGGCCGCGAACCGCCCGCAGGGCACAGCGCCGCCGCGCCCCGAGCUGAGAAUCACAUCAGCUGCUGCGGAGCCAAGAAUUGGUUUAAAAUUUUAUCACAGAACUCUCACAUCGUAGAACUGAUUUUACCUUCAUUUCUUAAGGAAGCAGGGAGUAAAGCUGCGGUGAAAACAGUGCAGUCAUCAUUCAGAACAGGCCUUGUUCUGUAGAGCAUUACAGCAUUUCUCAACACAGGCGGUACUAAGCACAGUGCUUUGUACGAUCGGCUGUGGGAAAGGUUUGCUUGGAAAGCUGUUAAAACUUAAUUAAGACUGUUUGUCAGUCCGUUAAGAGGAGCUACUAUGGCAAGGUAACUCUGUGAUGUCUCAUAGCACAAGCCCAAAAGGGCAUUCGGUGGUACUCGUGGUACUCGUAAAGUGGGAGUCUUGAAAAACAAUAGGUGGGGAGGCUUUUCCAAGCUACCUAAUUAUAAUGAAACUAACUGCCAGAGGAAACCAUUCAGCAGCAUUCAAAGCGCACAGGUAUUUGUAAGAACACAAAAACCACCUACUGCAUUCGCAGCAGAAGCCAAGAAAACAUUUUGAAGAUGCUGAUGAAGAUGAAGAUGCUGAUGAAGAUGAAGAUGCUGAUGAAGAUGAAGCAGCACUUGACUUGGUGUCUGUAGGGAAUAAGAACUGUACCUUUCUGUAUCCGCAGAGGUCUUGUGCCUGGUUCAGAGCAGGGGCAGGGGGUGCUGUCGGACCAGAAGGGUUGUGAGCUUUGUCACAUGUCGGGUGAGAACACAUGAAGUCAUACUGCUGAUUGACGCUGCUGUGAAGGCAGAAGUUCAAAGGUCCACGUACGCCGUGGGAGCGCUGUGUGCCGUGGAGGAGCUCAGUGGCGCUGUCUGGGUGUGCACACCAGGCACUGCAAGCUUGGAAGGCACUCCUGCUUCAGAAAAGGCUCUGUAUUGGCAACGGCAGGUUCUUCCCUUGGCAGUCAAUUGCAGGGGCUGCCAGACUGAGAUAUUCCAGGUGCGUGUUUUCUUCACUGAGACACUGAAGGAAAAAAAGCCGUCGUUGCCAGCAGUGUUGCGCGUUGUUGAAACGUUAUACUCUGUUAAUGUUCACUUGAAUGGCUGUUCUUCGUGACUUCCUUCCAGCUCUUUUUGUUGUUCUCAAGUCUUGCUGGCCUGCUAGCUUUGUGUUUACAUGCUCGCUGAGAAGGACUUGUUUAGAGUCCUUCUCUAAACAAACUUCCUUGUUUGUUGCAGAGAUUCCAUGUGCGUGAGCCCUCCUCUUGGGAAGUGGUCCAUACACCUGCCAUUGGGCGCCGUGUUUUUUACAGGGCUCACUUCCGUGGCUGUGAGAAAUGGUUGUUUAAACAAAACAAUUCUUGUUUGGGUUAAAGGAUUUUAAAAUUAUCUAUUUCUAGUAUUUGUUAUUUCUCUUGCUUAUCUGAAGGGAACACACUUUGUUCAGUAGGUGAACAGCCACGGACUUGACUUACUUGAGGAGCAGCUCGCAGGCUGUGCUUGCUCUGCACGCCCAGACGUCUGUCAUCCAAUCUGUCUGUCCAGGAGCAGCUACAGACUUACUGUUCUGCCUGCUUGCACUUAGCGAGGGAGCCAGAAUUCAUAUGGUGCUGUGCGCCUCUUCAGACACAAAGGCAAGCGUGAAUUUAAACCAACUGAAAUGUGUGUUUAGCACAGAACAUCUUUGAGGUGUCUACAGCCACGGAACAAUCUGCCAGGGCUGAAAACAUCCUUCAGCAGUCGGCCCAAUUGCAGGAGGUUGAACUGUGGAGUGUCCGUAGUAGCAAGCCAUCGCUGCUCCGAGGGAAGAGUUUGGUUUGGGUGGAGGGACUGGGAGCGUUCCUGCUUCUGUAUUGGCACAAGUCCUCGCACACGUAUCAUAACCCUGUUUCUGUGUGUCUGAAAGUCCCAGUGUAAUCCAGUACAUAGGUGUACGUGCCCCCACUUUUUCUUUAAACCAGUGCUGUAUUGGAGAAGCACGGUGUCCUCGGUGCUGGAGUCAGCCAGAAGGUUCUAGCCGUUGCAGGACACUGCACUGUUUCUGCACGGUGAUACAAACUGAUGGAAGCACUCAGUCUCACUUCUUCUGCUUGGGAAGGAGCGAAGUUGAGGGUGGCGGUGAGUUCUCCGCAUACCACAAGUACACACACACGGAUUUGUUCAGGCAAAUCCGCCAGAGUCUGAAGCGAGCAGUAAGUGGUUGUGUGUGCAGAGCAGCUGAGGGGUGCCAGCUUUCUGUAGCUGCAGCAGAAAGUGACAGAUAAAGAGCUGGCUGCUCUCCCUGUUUGUGUACUGGCUUUGCCUCGGGCAGCAGAGCGCACGUGAGGGGUUGCUUCAGCCUUUGAUAGAGUUUUCAGGAUUUGAUUGCUUGUGCACAGAGUCUGUUGCAGAUAUAAUUAAACUGAAGCAGAAGUGCAUGACAACCUGUAUGCAGCCUAGCCAACCCUGUGUGUUUUCCAGGCCAAUCAUGCUGUGAAUCACUGAAAACAUGUAAUCUUCUACGGCUUGCUCACAAGAGUUCUUUUGUUCUGUAGCCUUGUAUUUUUCACUGUUUACCAUUUUGUCUGUAUGAAAAUGUAACUCAUGACAUUUAAUAAAAUAUGUAACUCAUUAGUUAUUUAGUGUCCAUCUUCAUCUUGUCACUUUAGUGAAAAUAAUUUGAGCAGAAUGCUCUUUGCAGCUCUGUUCUGAAAAAUGUGGUUCUGUUUUGUCAGGUGGAAGCCAUCACUUUAAGUUUCCUCCUUUUCAAGGAAGUCAGGUUCAACAGCGAGUCUUUGCUUUUGUGGGAUCCAUGGAGCUUGGAGAAAGCUUUGGGAAGAGCUGCCUACUGAAAAUCCAUAAAUAGAAUUGGGUGGUUGGAACUAACUAGAAUAAAUUCGGUAUUUCUUCGACUGUUCACUGUAGGUACUUGGAUUUCUCACUGCUGUUGAAAUCAUCCUUCAGGCUUGGCAGAAAGGCGGGCUGUUGAUUGUUUUCCUUUGGAUGCUCACAGGAGUACCUGGAAUCCGUGCCAUUGCAGCCUCACCGCUGCAGGACAGACCCACUCCCAUUUCAUGCUUAACGGAUUUGAAAACUGAAUUAAACAACCUUAAGAGGGAAACCUGGUCUCUUCUCCAACCCUUUUUUGGGCCGGGGGAGGAGCGGAGGAAAGGAAAACAGCCGUGGCAGAGAACGUGAGCCGGGUCCUGGUGGCUGUUGUUUUCCCUCGUUUCAACAUGCUCAGUUUCCACCAGCUUCAAAUCCCUUGUAUGUCUCUGAGGUGUGAGAGCACUCAUAUUUGAAACUGAAGCACAGAUAUUUUUUUCUCUGAUGUUUACCAGAAUUGAUUUGAGCUGUCUGUAAUGGAGAAACAGUUGCCCAAGCUCUGAAAGUUCCUCUCCCAUUUGUAUGCUAAUGUCUCUUCGAGGCAGAUUUCUCUUUGGGGCUGGGCAUAAAACAAAGUACUGCAAUCUCUCGCUGAGCAAAAAUGACUUAGGAAUAUGUAUUUUCUCAGUUUAACCUUGAGCAAAAUAUUUUUGGCAUCAGAACAUUCAUUUACGUGGACUUGUGAGUGCUUUUAAAAUACAGCUUUUUAUAAUUGGGCUUUUACAGGUUUGGUUAUUUAUGCAAAGCGGAGAUGCGCUUCGUUCUUUUCUGUCUUUGCAUUUGAAUUCUUUAGGAAAUGGGACAAUUGCAGGGAUUUUCUUGGUCCUUGGUGUGCUUCAGCUCCGCCUGUUCGAGGAACUUCCUCACGUGGCUGUUAUACGUUUGUAUUCGUUUGUAUCCGUACUGUGCCUCGAAGUCGUAAAGUGUUGUUACUCUUAAUUAGACAGUAGAGAUUCCUGCAUUUAAAUAUGGAUGCGGAUAGCUCACGAGCAUUCUGUUGUAGUCCCCCCUUACUGCGCUGGAUGCCAGGAGCUGGGCUCUGCAUCUGUCCCUGAAGGACAGCACUCCGGCACGCUGAGCUCCGAGCCUGCCUGUGUUUGGUUCUGCAGCUCCUACACUUCUUCUGCCGUUAAGAGGCUGGGACAACAGAAGUACUGCAGGCGUUUUUGAACACCAGCUCAGCCCCACAACUUCUUGGUUGACAUCGGAACUCCUGCAGCCAGUGUAGAAGUGCAGGCAUUUCUUACUCCCUUUCUGCCCUGUGACCUGGCAGCCAUUGUGGCCAUUACUGCCUUGGGCUUUUGAAAUGGAGAGAGGAAAGCAGAAAAGGGCUGAAUUGUGUGGAGAGCUUCCAGGUAAGUGCACGCAUUCAGAAGCUGCUCGUUUCUUUUAUGCUGCUCGAGACUGUUAUAACACACUCAUUUCUAUACUUUUGUUUUGUUUUGCUUGUUUCCAAGCUUUACUUUUAUAAAAACUGUUUUAAUUCUUAUCCCCCGCUUGGGUACCUGUAUUGGAUGAGCACAAAGCAGGAGGAGCAGUUCCCUGUGCUAUGGGGGUUGGAGCAUAGAUCAGGGACCUUUGGGUGCUCCAUACCCACAUGUCCUCCAAUGGGAAAUGGGGGAGAUGAUGAGGAAUUUGAGGCAGAGGCGCUUUCUCCUCCAAACGCAGCGUCCUCUUCAUCUGUAAAAUGUAAAUGUUUUUCACCUUUUAAAAUAUGGGAUGUCUUUAAGAAAGAAUGAAAUAGUUGGCCACCAGUGUCUCACAAGUUAAUAUAGGUUGUUCAGAUGUAGCCUGGGGCAAAACAUAGAUUUUUCUCAUUGCAUUUGAAUAAAGCUUUCUCUUUUUCUCUUAGAUCUCAAAUCAGUAGGAAACCCAUUUUUCAAUGAAUAAACAUCACUUGGUUUGGUGUGUGUUUGCAGGGCUAUGGUAGGUACAGCUGUUACUCUUUAUCAACCUAAGUGGAGGAAAAGGAAGAAACUAAUCAAAACUCAGUGUACAAAAACUAGAAAAACUGAACUAACUUUUGCUUUCUAGUAAAGUUUCAGAUACAGUCCUCUUCCCACCAGCACACCUGGGAGCUCAUCUUCACCAUGCUUCCUCACCUCUUCUUAACAGUGAUGAUGCUGAGCACUUAGCACUGCAAAAUGGCAAGGUGAACUGAAGCACUUGGAAGUAUGUAUGAAAGAGGGAUGUGAGUUUAUGAGAAGCUAGGAUGAGGUUUGUUGGUCUCGUUUGCUGCUUUUCAGGAGAUGACUCCUUCCAUGCACUGCCAUGUGAACAAAAAGCUGCUCGUACACAAGCCUUAAAACAGAACUCAAGGAGCUGCACGCUGCUUUGGCUGUCUAGAAUCACUGCUCAAACAACAAGAUCUGGGCUGGGCCAUCCUUUAAAGGUGCUUUGAUUUUUCUUGUAAAGCAGUUCCACCACACGCACCAAAUGUUAUUUUGAAGUUCAGCUGGUGGUUUGAGGAAAGCAGAUAUUUGAGUAGUGCUCUCUGAAACAUGUCAACAUUUUGUGUGCUGCUGUUUCCAUGGAAACAGGUAUCAGCUCAGAAAAAUGGCCUCGGGAUUUCAAAACUAGAUGUAAAAAAUAAAAUCCAGAUAGGUUAGUCAUUCAUACUGCUACUCAUGAGCUGAUACUGGUGGUACUAAACGAUACGCCAUGAACACAUUAGGUAUAGACAGGCACAUUGGCAGGUCAAUGAUUUAUGUGUUUUUUAAGUGAGCCUCUGACUGAAGGAACUUUGUUAGAAAAACAUGCAUUAAUUGCGUUUUUUUCCUAGCUUGUUCUCUUCCACACACUUGAAAGCAAUCACAUUUUCAUCACUUCUUUAGGCCUCUACUUGAAAAAGGUAUUGAAAGAGGUACUGGACAAGAACUACAGAUUUAAGCUAGCUGGCAAAUUUUUCUUGUUAACAGGAAACACAAAGCUGAUCAUUUGGAAUCUUUAGCAGCACGUAGAAAUGAAGCAGGUGCCAUUUCUUUGAGCUCUUUGCCUCUGAGGACGUGUGCUUUAGGAAGAGCCGACUUGCAGGCGAGGCAGCUAUCCCAGCUGAGCACUGGAUCAGUGCAGGACUCCCUGCUGGCAGUGUGCACUGAGCACAUCUGUAUGGAGCUGAGGGCAGAGCGCCCCGGGAAUUCUUGGAAAAUGAAGACUCCUCUGUUUGGAGUCUUGCAUCUUCAGCUUAGUGAUUCAGACAUUUGUAUCUAUUUUCUAGCUCAAGCCAUGCCUAGAUGUCUGUCUUCGAUAUGAACUGGAUGUCCCCAGCCCUCUAGAGCACUGCUGGUGAAGGGCAGUAUGUUAAAGGAAAGGCACGGAGCAGGAGGUCAGUGCUGCAGGUGUGAAGUGAUUGGAAAGGGAUGGCUGCAGGGAAGGGAGGGAAAGGCACAGCAACAGAAAGCUGCAGCACUUCGCUGCACCCAGCAGUGAUGCAGUUCAGAAGAGAUGGGAGACACUGGGAAAGGACAGUAAGGCAGAACUGCAGGCCUGAAGAAGAAAAGGGAUGAGGUGGGGGUACAGGGCUAACUGCUGAGGUGGGGAAGCAGCCACAUGCCUGUGGAAGGGGAGAUGGUGUAGAAAACAGCUGCAAAAAAAAAAAAAAAAAGAAAACUGCUCUAAAAACAUUGGCACUUUCCCAAAAGAACACAGACUUUUUUUCACUCAAGUGGAAUUUGUUUGACAGAACAAUUCCUCUUAGAAAUAAAAUUCCUUAAACAUCGGAUCACUAAAUAAUGAAGGGUAGAGUGUCUAGUGACCUAAAUCAGAUUCCUUAAAAGGAUACCCACGAGGAUCAAACCAUGCUUCUGUACGGGCUCUACUUCAGUGAAAUACUCUCCCAAAACACUGGGGUGAAGCAAGCCUACAAUUCAUGCACACAGCGUGCUGCCCAUAAUAACAGGUUACUGACCUCAGUGUGGAUGUGGGCACUUACCAAGGGCAGUGUGGUUGUACACUUAUCCGUGUACACCUCCUCAGUAACCUGUCUGACCAACAGUCUCACAGGCUUCAAGGAUGGAAAUGCAGUGCAGAAGCAACACGCAAAGAGCUGGCCAGAGAAGUUUCUGUACAGCACAACACCAGAGACCUUACAGUGAGGGACUCAAGGAAGAUUUUACAGUAGGUACAGUGUUGCCAAGUUAUUCUUGUGUAUCUGUUACAGUAGCUCAAGAGUUGCUGCCAAGGUUGGUACCCACAUUCACACCAACUACACAGGUACUGCAUUUGAAGCUCACUUGUUGCUUAAAAAUAUCCAAGAGUGUAAUUGUCCUGAUGUGACAAGAAAGUAAGUUUGUAUGGCUUGUAGUAAGGUCCUCACCUCAGUCACUGCCCUGUGAGUUGGCUUUUAUCAAGCAGGUGUAACCAUUGCUGAUAUAUCAGACUAUUCAGCUCCUGAGAAGGCCCACUUUAAUCUGAUUUUCAGGAGCCACGAUCACUUCGAUAUGGUUGCAGAAGGAAACAAAAGAGCCAGAAGCCUCACAAACUUUAAACAAUUUAUUAGAACCCAUAUAUGUUGCUUUCAUUAGUUAACACCUGAAUUCAGGGUGAAAUUACAUUUUAAGAGCAAAAAAAUGCAGUGCUUAAAUAUGGCAUUUACUGAUGACUGCUAUUCUUAGAAUCCAGGUACAGGUUUGUUCUUACUGUGUGGUGUUAGUUUGGUAUCUAAUUCAGAGCAGGCUCAGUGUUUUAUUUUGAACUGGAAGUACAUCACACCAUGCAAAGGGCUGUUCCCCCCAUCUCCUCUCAGAGAUACGUAAUGAAGAACUCAAGCCUUAAACACCACCACCAGAGGGGAAAAAAAAACCAAACCGUUGGAAUGCAUCACCAGAAUUUGAUUUUUUAUUUCUUGUAUAUUUAAGACUCAUUAGCAGAAUAUGUCUGUAGCAAAAAUAAUGUAGCAAAAAAAAAAAAAA